GAAUGCUGACAUAAGUAACGAUAAAGCGGGUGAAAAGCCCGCUCGCCGGAAGACCAAGGGUUCCUGUCCAACGUUAAUCGGGGCAGGGUGAGUCGACCCCUAAGGCGAGGCCGAAAGGCGUAGUCGAUGGGAAACGGGUUAAUAUUCCCGUACUUGGUGUUACUGCGAAGGGGGGACGGAGAAGGCUAUGUUGGCCGGGCGACGGUUGUCCCGGUUUAAGCGUGUAGGUGUGUGUUCCAGGUAAAUCCGGUUCACUUUAACACUGAGGCGUGACGACGAGGCACUACGGUGCUGAAGCAACAAAUGCCCUGCUUCCAGGAAAAGCCUCUAAGCAUCAGGUAACAUCAAAUCGUACCCCAAACCGACACAGGUGGUCAGGUAGAGAAUACCAAGGCGCUUGAGAGAACUCGGGUGAAGGAACUAGGCAAAAUGGUGCCGUAACUUCGGGAGAAGGCACGCUGACACGUAGGUGAAGUGAUUUACUCAUGGAGCUGAAGUCAGUCGAAGAUACCAGCUGGCUGCAACUGUUUAUUAAAAACACAGCACUGUGCAAACACGAAAGUGGACGUAUACGGUGUGACGCCUGCCCGGUGCCGGAAGGUUAAUUGAUGGGGUCAGCGCAAGCGAAGCUCCUGAUCGAAGCCCCGGUAAACGGCGGCCGUAACUAUAACGGUCCUAAGGUAGCGAAAUUCCUUGUCGGGUAAGUUCCGACCUGCACGAAUGGCGUAAUGAUGGCCAGGCUGUCUCCACCCGAGACUCAGUGAAAUUGAACUCGCUGUGAAGAUGCAGUGUACCCGCGGCAAGACGGAAAGACCCCGUGAACCUUUACUAUAGCUUGACACUGAACAUUGAGCCUUGAUGUGUAGGAUAGGUGGGAGGCUUUGAAGUGUGGACGCCAGUCUGCAUGGAGCCGACCUUGAAAUACCACCCUUUAAUGUUUGAUGUUCUAACGUGGACCCGUUACCCGGGUUGCGGACAGUGUCUGGUGGGUAGUUUGACUGGGGCGGUCUCCUCCUAAAGAGUAACGGAGGAGCACGAAGGUUGGCUAAUCCUGGUCGGACAUCAGGAGGUUAGUGCAAUGGCAUAAGCCAGCUUGACUGCGAGCGUGACGGCGCGAGCAGGUGCGAAAGCAGGUCAUAGUGAUCCGGUGGUUCUGAAUGGAAGGGCCAUCGCUCAACGGAUAAAAGGUACUCCGGGGAUAACAGGCUGAUACCGCCCAAGAGUUCAUAUCGACGGCGGUGUUUGGCACCUCGAUGUCGGCUCAUCACAUCCUGGGGCUGAAGUAGGUCCCAAGGGUAUGGCUGUUCGCCAUUUAAAGUGGUACGCGAGCUGGGUUUAGAACGUCGUGAGACAGUUCGGUCCCUAUCUGCCGUGGGCGCUGGAGAACUGAGGGGGGCUGCUCCUAGUACGAGAGGACCGGAGUGGACGCAUCACUGGUGUUCGGGUUGUCAUGCCAAUGGCACUGCCCGGUAGCUAAAUGCGGAAGAGAUAAGUGCUGAAAGCAUCUAAGCACGAAACUUGCCCCGAGAUGAGUUCUCCCUGAGACUUAGAGUCUCCUGAAGGAAC
RNAcentral lists this ribosomal RNA (1566 nucleotides) under Salmonella enterica subsp. enterica serovar Enteritidis. RNAcentral describes it as "partial 23S ribosomal RNA". It matches the Rfam family "Bacterial large subunit ribosomal RNA", at positions 1292 to 2836 of the family's 2925-position model. Lineage: Bacteria; Pseudomonadati; Pseudomonadota; Gammaproteobacteria; Enterobacterales; Enterobacteriaceae. The record is from RNAcentral.